GAUGAACGCUGGCGGCGUGCCUAAUACAUGCAAGUCGAGCGAACAGACGAGGAGCUUGCUUCUCUGACGUUAGCGGCGGACGGGUGAGUAACACGUGGAUAACCUACCUAUAAGACUGGGAUAACUUCGGGAAACCGGAGCUAAUACCGGAUAAUAUUUUGAACCGCAUGGUUCAAUAGUGAAAGACGGUCUUGCUGUCACUUAUAGAUGGAUCCGCGCUGCAUUAGCUAGUUGGUAAGGUAACGGCUUACCAAGGCAACGAUGCGUAGCCGACCUGAGAGGGUGAUCGGCCACACUGGAACGGAGACACGGUCCAGACUCCUACGGGAGGCAGCAGUAGGGAAUCUUCCGCAAUGGGCGAAAGCCUGACGGAGCAACGCCGCGUGAGUGAUGAAGGUCUUCGGAUCGUAAAACUCUGUUAUUAGGGAAGAACAUAUGUGUAAGUAACUGUGCACAUCUUGACGGUACCUAAUCAGAAAGCCACGGCUAACUACGUG
This 497-nucleotide ribosomal RNA is filed under the name uncultured bacterium. RNAcentral describes it as "partial 16S ribosomal RNA". It matches the Rfam family "Bacterial small subunit ribosomal RNA", at positions 28 to 507 of the family's 1533-position model. The record is from RNAcentral.